CAGUCGCCGCGGUAAUACGAAGGGUGCAAGCGUUAAUCGGAAUUACUGGGCGUAAAGCGUGCGUAGGCGGUUUGUUAAGUCUGUUGUGAAAUCCCCGGGCUCAACCUGGGAAUGGCAAUGGAUACUGGCAAGCUAGAGUGUGUCAGAGGAUGGUGGAAUUCCCGGUGUAGCGGUGAAAUGCGUAGAGAUCGGGAGGAACAUCAGCGGCGAAGGCGGCCAUCUGGGACAACACUGACGCUGAGGCACGAAAGCGUGGGGAGCAAACAGGAUUAGAUACCCCCGUAGUCCCUGUCUCUUAUAC
RNAcentral lists this ribosomal RNA (301 nucleotides) under uncultured bacterium. RNAcentral describes it as "partial 16S ribosomal RNA". It matches the Rfam family "Bacterial small subunit ribosomal RNA", at positions 509 to 807 of the family's 1533-position model. The record is from RNAcentral.